RNAcentral lists this ribosomal RNA (551 nucleotides) under uncultured archaeon. RNAcentral's name for it is "bacterial SSU rRNA". It matches the Rfam family "Archaeal small subunit ribosomal RNA", at positions 326 to 879 of the family's 1478-position model. The record is from RNAcentral.
CGGGGUGCAGCAGGCGCGAAAACUUUGCAAUACACGAAAGUGUGACAGGGUCAUCCCGAGUGCCGACCGCUGAGGUUGGCUUUUACCCAGUCUAGAAAGCUGGGGGAAUAAGGAGAGGGCAAGUCUGGUGUCAGCCGCCGCGGUAAUACCAGCUCUCCGAGUGGUGUGGACGUUUAUUGGGCCUAAAGCAUCCGUAGCUGGCUGAACAAGUCCCCUGUUAAACCCACCGAUUUAAUCGUUGGUCUGCGGGGGAUACUGCUCGGCUAGGGGACGAGAGAGGCAGACGGUAUUCCCGGGGUAGGGGUGAAAUCCUAUAAUCCCGAGAAGACCACCAGUGGCAAAGGCUGUCUGCUAGAACGCGCCCGACGGUAAGGGAUGAAAGCUGGGGGAGCGAACCGGAUUAGAUACCCGGGUAGUCCCAGCUGUAAACGAUGCAGACUAGGUGUUUGGACGGCCACGUGCCGUUCUAGUGCCGCAGGGAAGCUGUUAAGUCUGCCGCCUGGGGAGUACGAUCGCAAGAUUGAAACUUAAAGGAAUUGGCGGGGGAGCAC